UAGCGGAUAUUGCACGGAGUGGUUGAAGAAGAGAUCCAGCGAUAAAGCAAGCAUUAACUGAGUCUUCUACGGAAUGGAGUAAGGAGGUAAUCAUUUAGGUGAAGAAGCUAAUGUGAUUCCUGCUGGUGCAGUGUGAUAGCCCGAAGUUAGCUGAAGUCAUACAACUCGAUCAUGUAGAACAUAUGGUGCUGGAAAAAAAAUACUGUAUGUUCACAAAUGCAGGCUGGAGAUAAGAAAAGUUUCAGGAGAACAGUACAAUUAUGUGUAGGAUUAGUUUCAGUUCACUGUAGUUCUGUUCGUUUGGAGUAUUUUCUUAGAAUGCUAGGAGUUUUGAUAUUUCUUUGAUCAUAGCAGUGCUGAAGUCUCUGGAGAUAUUAAAUUAAACCAGUGUAAAAAUUGUUAGUAGGAUCCAAUCGUAGAAAGGUUAAAACAAUUUAGGAGCAGUACAGCGUGAAAUAAAAAGACCCUUGUUCCUAGGUUCUGAUAUAUACUAGGCGGAAAGACAAUAUAAAAUUUUUGGUUUUUUUUUCUGAUAGUAAACUUUAAUUGUUUUUAUAUUGUAGAAAAGUCUUUAACUGUAAUUCAUGAAGCGGUUUACAUAAAAUGAUAUACAUACAUACCAAUUUAAGUAGAGUUUAAAGCAGAUAGUGAAAUCUUCGCAAGUGCUUUUCUCACAUUAUAAGUCAAGCAGUUGAGCUCGAUAACAAUGACGUAAAAUUUUAUUCAAUUAGCAAUUCCUAAAGUAAAGACGACAUCGUGAAGAACUGCAGGUAGUUUCGUGCUUAUUUAGUUUUGAGGUAAAAAAAUGAAUUGGGCAACGAAUGACUAUUUCUAAAAUACAAAUUACGAAUCCUAAUAAUGUUACAUUAGUUAUAUAACUCCAAAAUUUUUAGACAAAUAGCGAUUACGUAAAAAGGAAUUUGUUGACCUUCGUCUUUCGUAAUGAUAGGAAAAUAGAAGAAAAGAAAGGCGAAGGGCUUGGCCUAGUGAAGCCUAUAAUGACCUGUAGAAUAUUUGAGUGCAACAUACAUACAUACUAUGGGAACUUAUUGCUGCUGAUUUUGUUGGGCUCAUGCUGUCUGAUAAUAUUCUUUCUAUUUUUUUAGUUUUGCAGCUAAUUUAACGAGGUCGGACAAGAAGCGGAUAGCCAUACAUUAUCUCUUAACGUGAACUAUUUAAGAUGCCGGACUGCAGGAAACUGACAACCGGCCACAAUCAUUAUCAAAUUGUAAAUUUAGAUGAUGAUGAUUAACCUGGGCUUUUUAGGGAAAUAUCUGUUAAACGGAUUAGGUGGUGAUUCAUCAACAAUGAUUCGACAUCAAGCAUUGGACUGUCUUCACACAUGAGGUGGCCAAGGACGUUAGUCGUGGAGCAAAACGAACCAGGAUCGAGAAGGUAGAUUUGGUUGUCAUGAAGGGAAAGUGGAAGAGAAUAAUGUGUUAAGAAACUGUUAGAAAACUCAAGAAGCAUAGCCCAUGAUGAGCCUGUUAUAACUGUGAGGAUGUUACUAAAUCAAUCUACUUAAGGAUAAACGGGACUGUGUAGACAAUAACCGCCAUUGCUCUGUUGUUACCAAGAUGUGCAUAAGCUGAUUGUUUUUCAGCCACUCCAGUAUGAUAGAAAUUGAAUACCGUCUUCAAAAUCGGAAGGUUGAUAGUUAGAAAGAGAGAAAAGAUAGGAAAAUUAACACGGCAUCCCGUAUCACCUUAACUGUUUGAGAUGAAACGACAGAUGGAUGCAGUGGAGUAGAUUAAAACAGCAAGGCAAGCAUUCUUGUGACUACAAUGAAAAGAAAAAUGGUUUCUUGUUUGUUUAUAACAAGUUUACAGUAGCUUAAAUAAGGGUCCUAAAUAAUUGUAAACGUUUUAUAUGUCAGAUAGCAUUGAUUUUAUAUAAGUAACUAAACAACUGUAAAGAAAAGGAGGAAUGUAGUGUCCACACUACUACUAUUGCGAAUAUCUUGUGUAAAAGAAUCUUAGAGUGUAUGCUGUCACCUACCCGUAGUCGAAUGACAUGUAAAUAAAUAAUGUUCAGUUCUGUUCAGACCAACGUCGCGUGAAGACGUGUCUCUGCAAUCGUAUCCGAAGACCAACAUCAGACAUUACAGGGUGCAAAAAAGGUUUUUUCAACACAGAGGAGUUUAAAAGACAUUAUGUAUUUUUUCUAAUAAUAAUAUGACGGAAACGUGUUGAAUCGUUAAGUCUGAUCUUAAGCGCUGUACGUGAAAUCAUAAAAUUGAGUAAUAUUUUUUUCUGUAUUUACAUAAAUUAUCCCGGCUAGGUGACAUAUUUUUCUGAUAAAACUCUAUGUUCCUGAUGAUUCCUCCAAUAGGGCUAACCUUCCUGAGGUAGUCAUAACUGAGCUCAUGAUAGAACUAGCGGUUUUAUCACAGCAUUUUUUUGGUUUAUGUUACGGCCACGAAAUCUUUUGUUGGUUUUAUGCAUUGCCUCUCAGUUUUGUGUAUUUGUUUACAAAAAAAUCUCUCCGACAACAACCGCAAAUGCAAGCUUUAUUUAAAUGGUAUAUAAUAAGUGAUAAAACCAAUUCAUGUCUACUUGCAAGUCUUUAACUGAAGAUGUUUAUAGCAGAAGUUAUAUGACAGUUUUAUGGAACGCCAAAGGUUCAAAGAAAAAAACUACCACAUAAAACUAAUUUAGAACAACUAGCUUUUUGACAAGCUCGUAUAAAACCAGGAUAAAACAUCAAUAAACCUUCAAGGCAUGCUGAUUGUUAAGUGCCCCACACAAUGCAUACGUUUGCGUGUGCGUGACAGUAGUUUGACACAUUUCCCAUGGGAAAACUGUCAAAAAAACGCAAACCUCGACGGAACGGACGCUAUGUGUUCCAGGCUUUACUUGGGAUUUGAUUUGCGCGAUCGUUCCACCAGAGGCGCUAGGGUUUGAUCGCUUUGGCGUUUGCCUGUGAACACGUUGCUGAAUGAUGCAAACGAAAAUUACAGGCAUUUUGUGUAGUAGUGUGCAUGUCAGCAAAACGUCAAAUCGAAAUCCAUCAUGGCCGACAGUGUCGCACGCGGUUCUACCAACAGGUGGCAGUGUGCUCAUGAAAAUGACGCCGGGCGAAAAUUUUUGAUGAAUUUCCUCUAAGAGUUACGUCUGUUUGUCUGUGAUCUGUCACUUCGCGAAACCCACGUGCCUUUGUUUUUGGUAUGACCAUAGACUAAUUUCUAUGACUUGUUAUGAUCUGAUUUUCUUAAACAUGGCUAUGAACAUACGUGUGCAGUUUGAUGAAAAAAGUUUUGUUCAAAACUAUCCUCAAGGGUAAUUUGUGAAAUUGCAAAAAAACGUUGUACGCAACUCGGUGCAGAACUCGAUUUUUCCAGCACUCGUCGUAAUUAUCCAACUCGGCAAGUCUCGUUGGAUAAAUGUACGACUCGUGCUGUAAAAAUCCUCAUUCUGCACCUUGUUGCGUAAACUACUAUACUUCCAUUUGAGUACUUUAUCGUCAAAGUGCACAAGUUCGCAACUUCCAAAGUGAGCUGCGAUCGCACUUUGGUUUUUAUCAAAAUUGAUAAUAUUUCGCAUGUGUUCAAUCGGCUCUACUGCCGUUUUAGAUGUAUUAUGCCAAAAUGACUGUAAUCAAAACAAUUGGCUUCUUUAGCGGUGUUGAGAUAAUUCCAUAUUCUGAAUCUGCAUGCGAAACUGAGCCGAAAUCUAAAUUUUCUGGAAUUUUGAUGCCCGGGAACCUAUUUAAAAACCAAUUUGAAGUUUGUAUGGGAGCGAUUUGUCGAAUCACCCCUCGUCGCAUUUUGUACUGGGUGAAGCUGUCAAACAGUUACCCAGCUGUCAAAAGGUGAUUUCAAAAAAUCUCUUUAAAAUUGAUUUUAGGUAGAAAAAUAAAGUUCUUAAAAUCUGAAUAAAAUCAUAGAGGCUCAGAAAAAGAUGCUCUUCCGUAUAAAAUAAAAAAAUCGAUACAUUUUUCUUAAGCGCUGUUUGCAGUUCAGAAGGAAUUUCUCGGCCUAUCUUGAUGCAUGGGAAAUUCCUUGCCUGAAUCGCCCAAGAAACAGUUUUUCUUCCAUCGCAGUACGCAGUUGCGAAGAAAUGACAAUUCAAAUGGCCGUCACCGUAGAAAGUUUCUGCCAGGAAUCGCUCAAGAAGUUUCUUCAGCGAUUCCUUUAGAACUCGAAACUGCGCUUUAAUUUAAAAACCCAAUUGAACUCAUCAAACGACGAGUGAAAAAAUCCUAGGCAGCAUCCAUUUAUUACGUAACGCUAAAAUCGUCAUUUUUCAAACCCCCUCCCCCCUCCGUAACGCUUUUUUGGAUGAAAACCUGAACAUUUUAGUAUGAACCGUAACGCUCGACCAUACUCCCCCCUCUCCCAGAGUGUUACGUAAUUUGUGGAUGGCGCCCUAGUGAGAAAUAAAGUUGUUGUCGGGGUAACCGUGAGGAAACGCAUGGGUUCAGUGAGGUGUGCAAAUAAUCACUGUGCACAAAUUGUUUGCGCUUAAGUCUAAUAAUUUUUUAGAUGCUCAAUACAUAUAAUGCCGAAUAAGCGGGGUACGACGGUAACUUGUUUUUUCUAUAUACUCAUUUUUGGGUAAAAUCGAGCCAUAAAUUAGGUAGUUUGGAUUUUCCGUGUACCCUUCGGAAACGUUUUCGCUCACACCGCUCACAACAGCGUUUGUCACAGUUUGGCAUCACUUCUCACUCUGCAAAACAGAAACAUUGUUGUCGAACGUGCGCACGCUUGUUCGAAGUGAAAGUUUCCGAUAAGUACCUAGGUAAUAAAAAAGUUAUAAAUAUUCUUCCUUUUAAAUUGCGCAACUAAAUCUCCUCCACCGUCGGUUCAUUGUCCGUUCAACAGCAACCAUCGAUCAAAGUGUCCAUCCCGCUGCAAAGUCAUCGAACUAUUUACAACUCCCUGAAACACAGGCGCUUCGAUCGGGAAUUUUUCGUGGAAGAUCUGUCAAGCGUUUCGUCCGGUCGGAUUUCUUGCAGAGAUCGACCCAGUGGCUGAAUCGGAUAAUCUGCCGGUUAAUCUGCAACAUCGAUUGUGAUUCGUAGGCAGGCCAAGGCAACAUUCCGGAAGGAGAUUUCCCACGCGGAACAUGUGCAGAGCGGAAACAUUCUGUUGCGAUUUGCGAUUGAAGAGUGGAUUGUACGGGUUGAAAAAGUGGUCUUGCUGAUUGAGGUUGCCAAUUACAAUAGCUUGGGGGAUGAUUCGUGGAACUGGUGGACCUUCCGGUCCUAUGCGAAUUCCGAUACUCAUGUGAAAGUUGUGCAGGAGCUUACGACGGACAUUCCGGACAAGCUGGAAAUCUACCGCUUUGUCCUUCAGCAUCUUUUUUGUUAAACGCCAACAAUUAACCGGUUCUGGGCAAGGCUAAAUGUAUUCUCCUUGAGUCGGCGUUGCAUCAGGAUAAGAAGUUGUGAAAUAUCAAGGCCUCUCAUCGUACAAGAAACCUGGUUCGUCCUGAGAUGGUGUGUGGUGGUGACCAAUGGAUUGUGGGGCAAGCGGGCAGCAACCUACAUACACACCACAUAAUUGCACACCUUCCGUUCAGUUACCGAUCAACCGGGUGGGAUGGUGUCCUGACGAAUCAUCUGCUCGCGUGCAACAGAAACAGGCGUUCUAACGUGAUAACCAAGGUAAGAAACUGUUGUUUCGGCUUUCGGACAGUUGAUACCUCCGGCUAAGUUUCAACUUCCGACAGCCGAAUUAGUCAUCCGGAAUAAUUCCAUCGGUUGUUGAGGAUUCAUUCUAAGCCAAUAUCUUUCGUAUGCUGUGGGUGUUUAGGAAUGAUUCAAGGAUCUAUUUGUCACUUGCCGAGGCAGUCGAAGAUUCCUCCGGUUUUCGGAAGGGCCUGUCUUCAAGUACAUAGACGUAAGAGAGGAGCAGGGAAUUUGACCAACGUCUUCCAGUCCAAACACAUUUUGAAUUGGAUGUAUGGAGGGCGCAGAUGACCAAAAUGGAGUCUAUGUUUUUUUUUUUUUUUUUUUUAUAGGGGUAGGUAAUAUUCGAUUACAAAGAGUUAUAGCAGCAAGUGCCCAAAAUGAAUGCUCCUGCUCAAAUGGUCCCAGACCCUAUAUGUAUCUAUGUACAUAUAACAUAUCCCUAUCAAUCAGAUUUCAAUUUUAUUCAUGGUUCUGUAUGGGACGAUAGCGAUCGUCAUCGUUUCAAACAGAAUCAACAUCGAAAAUCUCGCACUGGUUGACCUGGCCCACUCUUAAUUGAUGGGGUAAGAAGCAAAGGUGUGUACACUCAAACCUCCAUUUAGGUAGUAUCCAUUUAGGUAAAAUCGAUUUAGGUCCCUCCAUUUAGGUAACGUUACCCAAAUGGAAUUUUAUUGUGAUCAGAUCAGUUGGAGUACUUAAGAUUAGGUAUGAGGUUCGUUUACGGAAAAGAAGUAGUGAGUGUUGUUAAGAGGAUAAAGGGGGGGGGGAUUGAUGCAAUGUUGAGAUUUCAUUUUAAAGGCAUUUUCAUUUUUUGUUUUUCAUACAAUUUUACUAUACAUAUAUCAUCAUGGCGCUAUUGUUUUGGCAGCUCUUGGCAGUUGCAUUUUUCUUUAACCGAUUGUGCAUACAUAAACGAGCAUUUGAACGUAAUCUCCCCGCGGGGAGUAGCGGGGAGCGAUUUGUAAGACACUUUGAAGUCGAACUGUAAGAAUUUCUCGUACUAAUGACAUGUAAUGUCAAUUUUGAAGCCAGAAGUAUUAUUUUGGUCUCUUGCUCCAUUGCAGAUAUCUGAUAUGCACAAGAACUUUCAAAUAAACUUUUGAAAGCAAUUGUUUUACUUAUAUCAAUAGACUUUUGUAGUGGUUGAACUUGUUUGUGUUCUUUAUAAAAAAAAUCAGCACUUUUUCCAUCAGCAGCUAUGCAGUGCUGUAACAAGAUACAAAAUCAAUAUUUCCAUUUUUUUUUAGUGCUCCUGGUAUUAUAGUUGAAUGCCCAAUAUACUGUAUCCCAUAUAAGACAUGUUCAAAAAUUGAGUUUAUGCCAGCUUUUCUCAAAAUUGGACCUCUGUGCCUCGUAGACUUUUGUCCAUACAAAAUUUUUAAAAUUUGUAUGGAGCGUAGACUUUGGUCAGAACCCACCACCCCCCCCCCCCUCCCCCCAAAAAGUCUACUUUAUGAACGGCCCUUUUCAAGUUUUUCACCAAUUUAUCAUCCUAUACAAAAUCGACCCAAUUUUCUCCCCGAUUUAUUGUAAUUUUUCUACUUAUCGUAAAAAUAAUAUUGAAAAAAAAUCCUGAGAGCUUGAAAUCUGAAGAACUUAUGCUCAAAUCAAUAUCGACUAAAUGAUCACUUAUAACCCUUUGCAUCUGGGCCCUUCAAUUCAUAUAAAAUACGCAGUAGUUUUUAUCUGCUUUUAUAUGAAUGUGAUUACCGCAUUACGAUGAAUUAAUGAGGAAUAUAUGCAUUAACUUCACUCCACUACACGAUAGUCCUUCCCGGGAUGUGGAUCAUAUGAUUCUACUCUUCAUCUUUAUAACUACGCGAUAUUCUUUCCUAAAAUGUGGAGCAUAUGUAUCCACUAUUCGUCCUUAUAAACACGCAGUACUCUUCCCCAAAAUAUGGAGCAUAUGUUUCCACUCUUUGUGCUAACAAAUACGUGUAUUCUUUCCAUCAAAUGUGGAGCAUAUUAUCCACUCUUCGUCCUUAUGAACACGCGGUACUUUUGCCUCAAAUGUGGAGCAUAUAUAUCCUCACUUCGCCUUUUAAAUACGCGAUAUUCCUUUCCAAAUGUGGAUCAUAUGUAUCCACUCUUUGUGCUUACAAAUACGCGUACUCUUUUCCUCAAAUGUGGAGCAUAUGUAUCCACUUAUCAUCCUCAUAAACACACGGUACUCUUCCCCCAAAUGUGGAGCAUAUGUAUCCAUUCUUCGUAUUUAUAAAUACGUGGUAUUCUUCCCCCAAAUGUGGAGCAUAUGUAUCCACUCUUCGUCCUUAUAAACACGCGGUACUUUUCCCCCAAAUGUGGAGCAUAUGUAUCCACUUUUCGUCCCCAUAAACACACGGUACUCUUCCCCCAAAUGUGGAGCAUAUGUAUCCAUUCUUCGUAUUUAUAAAUACGCGGAAUUCUUCCCCCAAAUGUGGAGCAUAUGUAUCAAUUCUUCGUCUUCAUAAAUACGCGGUACUCUUCCCCCAAAUGUUGAGCAUAUGUAUCCACUCUUCGUCCUUAUAUACACGCGGUACUCUUCCUGUAAAUGUGGAGCAUAUGUAUCAAUUCUUCGUCUUAAUAAAUACGCGGUACUCUUCCCCCAAAUGUGGAGCAUAUGUAUCAAUUCUUCGUCUUCAUAAAUACGCGGUACUCUUCCCUCAAAUGUGGAGCAUAUGUAUCCACUCUUCGUCUAUAUUAACACGCGAUACUCUUCCCUUAAAUGUGGAGCAUAUGUAUCCACUUUUCGUCCUCAUAAACACACGGUACUCUUUCCCCAAAUGUGGAGCAUAUGUAUCCAUUCUUCGUCUUUAUAAAUACGCGGUACUCUUCCCCCAAAUGUGGAGCAUAUGUAUCAAUUCUUCGUCUUCAUAAAUACGCGGUACUCUUCCCCCAAAUGUGGAGCAUAUGUAUCCACUUUUCGUCCUCAUAAACACACGGUACUCUUUCCCCAAAUGUGGAGCAUAUGUAUCCACUCUUCGUCUUUAUAAACACGCGGUACUCUUCCCCCAAAUGUGGAGCAUAUGUAUCCACUCUUCGUCUUUAUAAACACGCGGUACUCUUCCCCCAAAUGUGGAGCAUAUGUAUCCACUCUUCGUCUAUAUUAACACGCGGUACUCUUCCCCCAAAUGUGGAGCAUAUGUAUCCACUUUUCGUCCUCAUAAACACACGGUACUCUUUCCCCAAAUGUGGAGCAUAUGUAUCCACUCUUCGUCUAUAUUAACACGCGGUACUCUUCCCCCAAAUGUGGAGCAUAUGUAUCCACUUUUCGUCCUCAUAAACACACGGUACUCUUUCCCCAAAUGUGGAGCAUAUGUAUCCACUCUUCGUCUUUAUAAAUACGCGAUACUCUUCCGCCAAAUGUUGAGCAUAUGUAUCCACUUUUCGUUCUCAUAAACACACGGUACUCUUCCCCCAAAUGUGGAGCAUAUGUAUCCAUUCUUCGUCCUUAUUAACACGCGGUACUCUUUCCCCAAAUGUGGAGCAUAUGUACCCAUUCUUCGUCCUUAUAACACGCGGUACUCUUCCCCCAAAUGUGGAGCAUAUGUAUCCACUUUUCGUCCUCAUAAACACACGGUACUCUUUCCCCAAAUGUGGAGCAUAUGCAUCAAUUCUUCGUCUUUAUAAAUACGCGGUACUCUUCCCCGAAAUGUGGAGCAUAUGUAUCCACUCUUCGACUUUAUUAAUACGCGGUACUCUUCCGCCAAAUGUUUAGCAUAUGUAUCCACUUUUCGUUCUCAUAAACACACGGUACUCUUCCCCCAAAUGUGGAGCAUAUGUAUCCAUUCUUCGUCCUUAUUAACACGCGGUACUCUUUCCCCAAAUGUGGAGCAUAUGUACCCAUUCUUCGUCCUUAUAAACACGCGAUACUCUUCCCCCAAAUGUGGAGCAUAUGUAUCCACUCUUCGUCUUUAUAAACACGCGGUACUCUUCCCCCAAAUGUGGAGCAUAUGUAUCCACUUUUCGUCCUCAUAAACACACGGUACUCUUUCCCCAAAUGUGGAGCAUAUGUAUCCAUUCUUCGUUUUUAUAAAUACGCGGUACUCUUCCCCCAAAUGUGGAGCAUAUGUAUCAAUUCUUCGUCUUCAUAAACACGCGGUACUCUUCCCUCAAAUGUAGAGCAUAUGCAUCCAUUCUUCGUGUUUAUAAACACUUCGUAUUUAUAAAUACGCGGAAUUCUUCCCUCAAAUGUGGAGCAUAUGUAUUCAUUCUUUGUCUUUAUAAACACGCGGUACUCUUCCCCCAAAUGUGGAGCAUAUGUAUCCACUUUUCGUCCUCAUAAACACACGGUACUCUUUCCCCAAAUGUGGAGCAUAUGUAUCCACUCUUCGUCUUUAUAAACACGCGGUACUCUUCCCCCAAAUGUGGAGCAUAUGUAUCCACUCUUCGUCUAUAUUAACACGCGGUACUCUUCCCCCAAAUGUGGAGCAUAUGUAUCCACUUUUCGUCCUCAUAAACACACGGUACUCUUUCCCCAAAUGUGGAGCAUAUGUAUCCACUCUUCGUCUAUAUUAACACGCGGUACUCUUCCCUCAAAUGUGGAGCAUAUGUAUCCACUUUUCGUCCUCAUAAACACACGGUACUCUUUCCCCAAAUGUGGAGCAUAUGUAUCCACUCUUCGUCUUUAUAAAUACGCGAUACUCUUCCGCCAAAUGUUGAGCAUAUGUAUCCACUUUUCGUUCUCAUAAACACACGGUACUCUUCCCCCAAAUGUGGAGCAUAUGUAUCCAUUCUUCGUCCUUAUUAACACGCGGUACUCUUUCCCCAAAUGUGGAGCAUAUGUACCCAUUCUUCGUCCUUAUAACACGCGGUACUCUUCCCCCAAAUGUGGAGCAUAUGUAUCCAUUCUACGUCCUUAUUAACACGCGGUACUCCUCCCCCAAAUGUGGAGCAUGUGUAUCCACUCUUCGUCUUUAUAAACACGUAGUACUCUUCGCCAAAUGUUGAGCAUAUGUAUUCACUUUUCGUCCUCAUAAACACGCGGUACUCUUUCCCCAUAUGUGGAGCAUAUGUAUCCAGUCUUCGUUUUUAUAAAUACGCGGUAUUUUUUCCCCAAAUGUGGAGCAUAUGUAUCCACUCUCUUUAUAAAAACGCGCUACUCUUCCCUCAAAAAGUGAGCAUGUGUAUCCACUUUUCGUCCAUAUAAAUACGUGAUACUCUUUCCCCAUAUGUGGAGCAUAUUUAUCCAGUCUUCGUUUUUAUAAAUACGCGUUACUUUUUCCCCAAAUGUGGAGCAUAUGUAUCCACUCUUCGUCCUUAUAAACACGCGGUACUCUUCCCCCAAAUGUGGAGCAUAUGUAUCCACUCUUCGACUUUAUAAAUACGCGGUACUUUUCCGCCAAAUGUUGAGCAUAUGUAUCCACUUUUUGUCCUCAUAAACCACGGUACUCUUCCUCCAAAUGUGGAGCAUAUGUAUCCACUUUUCGUCCUCAAACACACGGUACUCUUUCCCCAAAUGUGGAGCAUAUGCAUCCAUUCUUCGUCUUUAUAAAUACGCGGUACUCUUCCCCCAAAUGUGGAGCAUAUGUAUCCACUCUUCGACUUUAUAAAUACACGGUACUCUUCCGCCAAAUGUUGAGCAUAUGUAUCCACUUUUCGUCCUCAUAAACACACGGUACUCUUCCCUCAAAUGUGGAGCAUAUGUAUCCAUUCUUCGUCCUUAUAAACACGCGGUACUCUUUCCCCAAAUGUGGAGCAUAUGUAUCCAUUCUUCGUCCUUAUAAACACGCGGUACUCCUCCCCCAAAUGUGGAGCAUGUGUAUCCACUCUUCGUCUUUAUAAACACGUAGUACUCUUCCCCAAAUGUGGAGCAUAUGUAUCCACUUCUCGUCCUUAUAAACACGCGGUACUCUUCCCCAAAUGUAGAGCAUAUGUAUCCAUUCUUCGUCUCUAUAAACACACGGUACUCUUCCCCCAAAUGUGGAGCAUAUGUAUCCAUUCUUCGUCCUUAUUAACACGCGGUACUCUUCCCCCAAAUGUGGAGCAUGUGUAUCCACUCUUCGUCUUUAUAAACACGCGGUACUCUUCCCCCCCAAUGUGGAGCAUAUGUAUUCAAUCUUUGUCUUUCACUCAAAUGUGAAGCAUAUUAUCCACUCUUCCUCCUUAUAAACACGCGGUACUCUUUCCCCAAAUAUGGAACAUAUGUAUCCAUUCUUCGUCUUUAUAAACACGUGGUACUCUUCCCCAAAUGUGGAGCAUAUGUAUCCACUUCUCGUCCUUAUAAACACGCGGUACUCUUCCCCCAAAUGUGGAGCAUAUGUAUCCAUUCUUCGUCUUUAUAAAUACGCGGAAUUCUUCUCCCAAAUGUGGAGCAUGUGUAUCCACUCUUCGUCUUUAUAAACAAGCGGUACUCUUCCCCAAAUGUGGAGCAUAUGUAUCCACUUUUCGUCCUUAUAAACACGCGGUACUCUUCCCCCAUAUGUAGAGCAUAUGUAUCCAUUCUUCGUCUUUAUAAAUACGCAGAAUUCUUCCCCCAAAUGUGGAGCAUAUGUAUCAAUUCUUCGUCUUCAUAAAUACGCGGUACUCUUCCUCCAAAUGUGGAGUAUAUGUAUUCACUCUUUGUCUUUAUAAACACGCGGUACUCUUUCCCCAAAUAUGGAGCAUAUGUAUCCAUUCUUCGUCUUUAUAAACACGUGGUACUCUUCCCCAAAUGUGGAGCAUAUGUAUCCACUUCUCGUCCUUAUAAACACGUGGUACUCUUCCCCCAAAUGUGGAGCAUAUGUAUCCAUUCUUCGUCUUUAUAAAUACGCAGAAUUCUUCCCCCAAAUGUGGAGCAUAUGUAUCAAUUCUUCGUCUUCAUAAAUACGCGGUACUCUUCCCCCAAAUGUGGAGUAUAUGUAUUCACUCUUUGUCUUUAUAAACACGCGGUACUCUUUCCCCAAAUAUGGAGCAUAUGUAUCCAUUCUUCGUCUUUAUAAACACGUGGUACUCUUCCCCAAAUGUGGAGCAUAUGUAUCCACUUCUCGUCCUUAUAAACACGCGGUACUCUUCCCCCAAAUGUGGAGCAUAUGUAUCCAUUCUUCGUCUUUAUAAAUACGCAGAAUUCUUCCCCCAGAUGUGGAGCAUAUGUAUCAAUUCUUCGUCCUCAUAAACACGCGGUACUCUUUCCCCAUAUGUGGAGCAUAUGUAUCCAGUCUUCGUUUUUAUAAAUACGCGGUAUUUUUCCCCCAAAUGUGGAGCAUAUGUAUCCACUCUCUUUAUAAAAACGCGGUAAUCUUCCCUCAAAAAGUGAGCAUGUGUAUCCACUUUUCGUCCAUAUAAAUACGUGAUACUCUUUCCCCAUAUGUGGAGCAUAUUUAUCCAGUCUUCGUUUUUAUAAAUACGCGUUACUUUUUCCCCAAAUGUGGAGCAUAUGUAUCCACUCUUCGUCCUUAUAAACACGCGGUACUCUUCCCCCAAAUGUGGAGCAUAUGUAUCCACUCUUCGACUUUAUAAAUACGCGGUACUUUUCCGCCAAAUGUUGAGCAUAUGUAUCCACUUUUUGUCCUCAUAAACCACGGUACUCUUCCCCCAAAUGUGGAGCAUAUGUAUCCACUUUUCGUCCUCAAACACACGGUACUCUUUCCCCAAAUGUGGAGCAUAUGCAUCCAUUCUUCGUCUUUAUAAAUACGCGGUACUCUUCCCCCAAAUGUGGAGCAUAUGUAUCCACUCUUCGACUUUAUAAAUACACGGUACUCUUCCGCCAAAUGUUGAGCAUAUGUAUCCACUUUUCGUCCUCAUAAACACACGGUACUCUUCCCUCAAAUGUGGAGCAUAUGUAUCCAUUCUUCGUCCUUAUAAACACGCGGUACUCUUCCCCCAAAUGUGGAGCAUAUGUAUCCAUUCUACGUCCUUAUUAACACGCGGUACUCUUUCCCCAAAUGUGGAGCAUAUGUAUCCAUUCUUCGUCCUUAUAAACACGCGGUACUCCUCCCCCAAAUGUGGAGCAUGUGUAUCCACUCUUCGUCUUUAUAAACACGUAGUACUCUUCCCCAAAUGUGGAGCAUAUGUAUCCACUUCUCGUCCUUAUAAACACGCGGUACUCUUCCCCAAAUGUGGAGCAUAUGUAUCCAUUCUUCGUCUCUAUAAACACACGGUACUCUUCCCCCAAAUGUGGAGCAUAUGUAUCCAUUCUUCGUCCUUAUUAACACGCGGUACUCUUCCCCCAAAUGUGGAGCAUGUGUAUCCACUCUUCGUCUUUAUAAACACGCGGUACUCUUCCCCAAAUGUGGCGCAUAUGUAUCCACUUCUCGUCCUUAUAAACACGCGGUACUCUUCCCCCAUAUGUAGAGCAUAUGUAUCCAUUCUUCGUCUUUAAAAAUACGCGGUACUCUUCCCCCCCAAUGUGGAGCAUAUGUAUUCAAUCUUUGUCUUUCACUCAAAUGUGAAGCAUAUUAUCCACUCUUCCUCCUUAUAAACACGCGGUACUCUUUCCCCAAAUAUGGAGCAUAUGUAUCCAUUCUUCGUCUUUAUAAACACGUGGUACUCUUCCCCAAAUGUGGAGCAUAUGUAUGCACUUCUCGUCCUUAUAAACACGCGGUACUCUUCCCCCAAAUGUGGAGCAUAUGUAUCCAUUCUUCGUCUUUAUAAAUACGCGGAAUUCUUCUCCCAAAUGUGGAGCAUGUGUAUCCACUCUUCGUCUUUAUAAACACGCGGUACUCUUCCCCAAAUGUGGAGCAUAUGUAUCCACUUCUCGUCCUUAUAAACACGCGGUACUCUUCCCCCAUAUGUAGAGCAUAUGUAUCCAUUCUUCGUCUUUAUAAAUACGCGGAAUUCUUCCCCCAAAUGUGGAGCAUAUGUAUCAAUUCUUCGUCUUCAUAAAUACGCGGUACUCUUCCCCCAAAUGUGGAGUAUAUGUAUUCACUCUUUGUCUUUAUAAACACGCGGUAUUCUCCCCCAAAUGUGGAGCAUAUGUAUCCACUCUUCGUCUAUAUUAACACGCGGUACUCUUCCCCCAAAUGUGGAGCAUAUGUAUCCACUUUUCGUCCUCAUAAACACACGGUACUCUUUCCCCAAAUGUGGAGCAUAUGCAUCCAUUCUUCGUCUUUAUAAAUACGCGGUACUCUUCCCCGAAAUGUGGAGCAUAUGUAUCCACUCUUCGACUUUAUUAAUACGCGGUACUCUUCCGCCAAAUGUUGAGCAUAUGUAUCCACUUUUUGUUCUCAUAAACACACGGUACUCUUCCCCCAAAUGUGGAGCGUAUGUAUCCAUUCUUCGUCCUUAUUAACACGCGGUACUCUUUCCCCAAAUGUGGAGCAUAUGUAUCCAUUCUUCGUUCUUAUAAACACGCGGUACUCUUCCCCCAAAUGUGGAGCAUAUGUAUCCAUUCCACGUCCUUAUUAACACGCGGUACUCUUCCCCCAAAUGUGGAGCAUAUGUAUCCAUUCUUCGUCCUCAAACACACGGUACUCUUCCCCCAAAUAUAGAGCAUAUGUAUCCAUUCUUCGUCCUUAUAAACACGCGGUACUCUUCCCCCAAAUGUGGAGCAUGUGUAUCCACAUUUCGUUUUUAUAAACACGCGGUACUCUUCCCCAAAUGUGGAGCAUAUGUAUCCACUUCUCGUCCUUAUAAACACGCGGUAUUCUUCCCCCAAAUGUGGAGCAUAUGUAUCCAUUCUUCGUCCUUAUAAACACGCGGUACUCUUCCCCCAAAUGUGGAGCAUAUGUAUCUAUUCUUUGUCUUUAUAAAUACGCGGUACUCUCCCUACAAAUGUGGAUCACUCUUUGUGCUUGCAAAUACGCGUUUUCUUCGACCUAAAUGUGGAGCAUAUUAUCCACUCUUCGUCCUCAUAAACACGCGGUACUCUUAUCCUUAAAUGUGGAGCAUAUGUAUCCUCUCUUCGUCCUUUUUAAUACGCGAUACUCUAAUCCAAAUGUGGCGCAUAUGUAUCCACUCUUCGUCUUUAUAAAUACGCGGUACUCUUUCCUAAAAUGUGGAGCAUGUGCAUCAACUUUUCGUUUUUAUAAACACGUGGUACUCUUUCCUUGAAUGUGGAGCAUAUGCAUCCAAUCCUCGUUCCCAUGAACACGCGGUUGACUUUCCUUUAAUGUGAGUUGUGAGCAUAAAACAUUAACAUUGGACUGCAGUAGAAACUAUUAAAGUCGAUUUGUAGCGCUCUUGUCAGUGGUCUAACAACUCUCAGCGGUCUAGGCAUGGUUCCAAUAUGUCGUUUAAAGAGUUGCCACCUAUGAUUUAGAGUUCCGACUAAUUUUGAUCAACUGACACAUAGUUUUCUGCUGCUGUGUAAUGUUAUGCGGUAGUCUCUCCGAAUGUGUUCUUUAUUAAUACGCGGUACUCUUCUCUCAAAUGUGGAGCAUAUGUAUCCAUUCUUCGCCUUUAUAAAUACGCGGUACUCUUUCCUAAAAUGUGGAGCAUGUGCAUCCACAUUUCGUCUUUAUAAAUACGCGGUCUCUUCCCCCAAAUGUAGAACAUAUGUAUUCACUCUUCGUCUUUAUUAAUACGCGGGACUCUUCCUUCGAAUGUGGAACAUAUGUAUACACUUUUUGCUCACUUGAAUAUGCGGUAGUCUUUCCCAGAAUGUGGAACACAUGUGCCUUCUCUUCGCUCACUUGAAUACGCGAUAGUCUUUCCCUAAAUGUGGAGCAAAUGUACCCACUCUUCGCUUACUUGAAUACGCGGUGGUCUCUCCCUGAAUGUGGAGCAAAUGUAUCCACUCUUCGCUUACCUGAAUACGCGGUAGUCUCUCCCUGAAUGUGAAGCAUAUGUAUAUAUUCUUUGCUUACUUGAAUGCGCGAUAGUCUUUCCUAGAAUGUGGAAUAUAUGUAUCCACUCUUCGCUCACUUGAAUACACGGUGUAGUCUUUCCCAGAAUGUGGAGCAUAUGUAUCCACUCUUCGCUUACUUGAAUACUCGGUGGUCUCUCCCUGAAUGUGGAGCAAAUGUAUCCACUCCUCGCUUACUUGAAAACGCGGUAGUCUUUACCUGAAUGUGGAUCAUAUUUAUCCACAUCUUGUUCCCAUAAAUACGCGGUACUCUUUAUCUGAAUGUGGAGCAUAUGUAUCCACUCUUCGCUUCCUUGAAUACGCGGUAGUCUUUAGCAGAAUGUGAAUCAUAUGUAUCCACUCUUCGCUAUCCUAAAUACGCGAUAUUGAAUGUGGAGCAUAUGUAUCCGAUCUUCGCUUGAAUUCGCGGUAGUCUUUUCCUAAAUGUGAAUCAUAUGUAUCCACUUCUCGUUCCCAUGAAUACGCGGUAGUCUGUAUCUGAAUGUGGAGCAUAUGUAUCCACUCUUCGUUCCCAAAAAUACGCGGCUCUCUUUAUCUGAAUGUGAAGCAUAUGUAUCCACUCUUCGCUUCCCAUAAAUACGCGGUACUCUUUAUUUAAAUGUUGAGCAUAUGUAUCCACUCUUUGCUUGAAUACGCGGUUGUCUUUAUCUGAAUGUGGAUUAUUUGUAUCCACUCCUCGUUCCCAUGGAUACGCGGUAGUCUUUAUCUGAAUGUGGAGCAUAUGUAUCCACCUUCGCUUCCUUGAAUUCGCGGUAGUCUUUAGCAGAAUGUGGAACAUAUGUAUCCACUCUUCGUUCCCAUGAGUACGCGGUAGUAUUUAUCUGAAUGUGGAGCAUAUGUUUCCACUCUUCGCUUUUUUGGAUACGCGGUAGUCUUCACCUGAAUGUGAAGCAUAUGUAUCAACUCUUCGUUCCCAUGAAUACGCGGUAGUCUUUAUCUGAAUGUGGAGCAUAUGUAUCCACUCUUCGUUCCCAAAAAUGCGCGGUAGUCUUUAUCUGAAUGUGGAGCAUGUGUAUCCAGUCUUCGCUUCCCAUAAAUACGCGGUACUCUUUAUUUGAAUGUGGAGCAUAUGUAUCCACUCUUCGCUUGAAUAUGCAGUAGUCCUUACCUGAAUGUGAAUCAUAUGUAUCCACUUCUCAUUCCCAUGAAUACGCGGUUGUCUGUACCUUAAUGUGGAUUAAACGUAUCCACCCUUCGUUCCCAUGAAUACGCGGUAGUCUGUACCUGAUUGUAGAGCAUAUGUAUCCACUCUUCUGUAGUAUAUAAGAGUAAGCACUAAAUAAAAUAAUGAAAUUGAUUUACUCACCAAUCAUUGUUAUUCCAAUGAACUGCAACCCUUGAGAUGAAAACGAAUUUGGAACAAAACAAAACAAAAUACUUUUGACGUUUCUCGGAUUGCUGCGAUCGAAAGCAUUGAGCGAUCUCAAAAAGUAAAUCGACUACGAUUUCUGUGGAACGUGUAUAGAAUAUUAGUGUGGAUCUUAAAAUGAGCUUUUGUGGAAUAUUUGUGUGGAUCUUAAAAUGAGCUUUUGUGGGAACGGAUGAUCUUUUGUGUGUGCGUGAGAGUCUUGCGUUCCGACAAAAAUGGAUAAGGAUGAUUCGGAGUUGAAAGCAUUUGAAUGUAUGCGUAAGCAAAUGAUAGGUACGGGAUUGAUGAAAAACGGGGAUUCAGAAAACUAACUUCGAAGCUAUCGGACGUGCUGCAGAUUUGUUCCGGGAAGAAAAUGGACGGCGAAGAGAUUUUCGGUCACCACACGUUAACGUUAUCCACUCUUUGCUUGAAUACGCGGUUGUCUUUAUCUGAAUGUGGAUUAUUUGUAUCCACUCCUCGUUCCCAUGGAUACGCGGUAGUCUUUAUCUGAAUGUGGAGCAUAUGUAUCCACCUUCGCUUCCUUGAAUUCGCGGUAGUCUUUAGCAGAAUGUGGAACAUAUGUAUCCACUCUUCGUUCCCAUGAGUACGCGGUAGUAUUUAUCUGAAUGUGGAGCAUAUGUUUCCACUCUUCGCUUUUUUGGAUACGCGGUAGUCUUCACCUGAAUGUGAAGCAUAUGUAUCAACUCUUCGUUCCCAUGAAUACGCGGUAGUCUUUAUCUGAAUGUGGAGCAUAUGUAUCCACUCUUCGUUCCCAAAAAUGCGCGGUAGUCUUUAUCUGAAUGUGGAGCAUGUGUAUCCAGUCUUCGCUUCCCAUAAAUACGCGGUACUCUUUAUUUGAAUGUGGAGCAUAUGUAUCCACUCUUCGCUUGAAUAUGCAGUAGUCCUUACCUGAAUGUGAAUCAUAUGUAUCCACUUCUCAUUCCCAUGAAUACGCGGUUGUCUGUACCUUAAUGUGGAUUAAACGUAUCCACCCUUCGUUCCCAUGAAUACGCGGUAGUCUGUACCUGAUUGUAGAGCAUAUGUAUCCACUCUUCGUUUCAAAAAAAUACGCGGUAGUCAUUAUCUGAAUGUGAAGCAUAUGUAUCCACUCUUCGCUUCCCAUAAAUACGCGGUACUCGUUAUUUGAAUGUGGAGCAUAUGUAUCCGCUCUUCGCUUGAAUACGCGGUAGUCUUUACCUGAAUGUGGAUCAUAUGUAUCCACUUCUAGUUCCCCUAAAUACGCGGUACUCUUUAUUUGAAUGUGGAGCAUGUGUAUCCACUCUUCGCUUGAAUACGCGGUAGUCAUUACCCGAAUGUGGAGCAUAUGUACCCACUCUUCGUUCCCAUGAAUACAUGGUAAUCUCUAUCUGAAUGUGGAGCAUAUGUAUUCACUCUUCGGUAUCUUAAAAACGCGGUAGUCAUUAUCUGAAUGUGGAGCAUAUGUAUCCCGGUUUCUUUCCCAUGAGUACGCGGUAGUCAUAACAUGCAUGUGGAGCAUAUGUAUCCACUCUUCGUUCCCAAAAAUACGCGGUAGUCUUUAAUUGAAUGUGGAGUAUUUGUAUCCACUCCUCGCUUCCUUGAAUACGCGGUAGUCUUUUCCUGAAUGUGGAUUAUAUGUAUCCACUUCUCGUUCCCAUGAACACGCGAUAGUCUUUACCUGAAUGUGGAGCAUAUGUAUCCACUCUUCGUUCCCAAAAAUACGCGGUAGUCUUUAUCUGAAUGUGGAGCAUAUGUAUCCACUCUUUGUUCCCAAAAAUACGCGGUAGUCGUUAUCUGAAUGUGGAGCAUAUGUAUCCACUCAUCGCUAUCUUAAAUACGCGGUAGUCUUUAUCUAAAUGUGGAGGAUAUGUAUCCACUCUUCGUUUUUAUGAAUACGCGGUAGUCUUGACCUAAAUGUGGAGCAUAUGUAUCCACUCUUCGUUCCCAUGAAUACGUGGUAGUCUUAAUCUAAAUGUGGAGCAUAUGUAUCCACUCAAUGAGAGUAUAUUACAGUUGGGGAAGAAGAAGAGAUGGCUAUGUAUUAGUAAGCAAAGAAAAAUGUAAACACAAAUAGUGACGUCACUAUUUGACACACGUUUUUAUGGGAGCUCGCUUCGCUUGUAGUAGUGACAGGUUUUGUACCAGACACGGAUCGUACGCACACAAAGUAUCUUCUUCCCCACCUUUAUUAGACUCUCAUUGGUAUCCACUCUUCGCUUCCUUGAAUACGCGGUAGUCAAUACCUGAAUGUGGAUCAUAUGUAUCCACUUCUCAUUCCCAUGAAUACGCAGUAGUCUGAAUUUGAAUGGGGAGCAUAUGUAUCCACUCUACGCUACCUCAAAUACGCGGUAGUCUUUUUCUAAAUGUGGAGCAUAUGCAUUCACUCUUCACUUUCCUGAAUACGCGGUAGUCUAUACCGGUUCAUUCAUAACGGGGUUCAUUUAUUUUAAUUUGAACUUCUAGUAACCCUGUGGGUAUCGAAAAACACACUGAUGGUAACCCUUUUCGCUGUUUUGUUUUGAUUCUGCGUUCCGUUUCGCCACGUUCCAUGAGCAAAAUGACGUUUGAACCAUUGCGCAGAAUUAGGAACCGGUAUUAACUGGUGGAUAAAUGUAUAGGUCCAGAACGAUCGUAAUGUCGCAUAACAGUUCAAAAUGAAGAAUCAAAUUGAAUUUUAUCUAGGGGAAACUACCUAUUCUCGGCCGUUUUGUUCUCUUCGUCUUAGGGGGUUUUUUGAAACCUUUUGAACUCAGAGUUGGUCUCAAAUCCUUCCCAACUAAGCUGAAUUAUAUGGCCAAGUUUCAGGCAGUUUGGCUGACAAAAACCCCCCAUGACGAAGAGAACAAACCUGCCGAUAAUACCCAUUGUCACCCUAUAGCCAAUGUUUUCCUGUAAAGCAUGUUGACAUUGAUCUAGCCUUCUUUUUACCAAUACGUAAUAUUGUCACCCUUUGGUAAUAUGUUUUUUGUAAUACCUCUUCUUUGUUUUUUUAUAAUUAUAUUUUACAUUCUUAAUGCAUAUUUCCUUUUUCUCUUUUUUCCAUUUCUUAUGUUACACCCUGUUACACCGAGCCGUUGAUUGGAAGCGACGAGAAACGAGGAGAAACGGUCAAAAGCUAUUAGAUAAUAAGGAUUACAUAAGGCAUCAUUAAAUAAUAACAAAUAAAUGAUUAUAUACACUAUAUUUGAUUCAUAUAUAAGUUGUAAUGGUUGAAUAUAAAAACAAAAUCGACGUGAACUUCUAAAAAUACAUAAUAAUUUUGGUUAGUAUCAAUUCGAUAUUUCAAAAUGAACGUCAAUUUAAACCAUUAUUUUGAAAGUGUUUUACUCUAGCGAACCCACAGAGGAAAUAAGUUAGAGGACACUAUUUGAUAUAGAAGUUAUCAAAUAUAUGUUUUGAACUAAAAUAUGUAAUGUAAGUAGUAGUGAUAUUGGUAACUUAAUGUAAUGAUAUUUUAGUUGUUUAUUUUAUGCAUCAAUAAAUUUAAAAAAACUGAAAUAUGUAAUGAAAAAUUAUUAAUAUCACUACUACUAAUGGAAGAAAUAUGUACCCGAAGUGAAAAUAUUAUCUCGCAAUUGUAAAACCCAGUAUAAAUGAGACCAAUAAAUUAUUUUUAAUCGCU
Molecule: long non-coding RNA, 21288 nt
Organism: Aedes albopictus (Asian tiger mosquito)
Lineage: Eukaryota; Metazoa; Arthropoda; Insecta; Diptera; Culicidae
Exons: 2
Source: RefSeq, a predicted model, not a curated record